This 500-nucleotide ribosomal RNA is filed under the name uncultured bacterium. RNAcentral describes it as "partial 16S ribosomal RNA". It matches the Rfam family "Bacterial small subunit ribosomal RNA", at positions 30 to 523 of the family's 1533-position model. The record is from RNAcentral.
AUUGAACGCUGGCGGAAUGCUUUACACAUGCAAGUCGAACGGCAGCACGGACUUCGGUCUGGUGGCGAGUGGCGAACGGGUGAGUAAUAUAUCGGAACGUGCCCAGUCGUGGGGGAUAACGUAGUGAAAAUUACGCUAAUACCGCAUACGAUCUACGGAUGAAAGCGGGGGAUCGCAAGACAUCGCGCGAUUGGAGCGGCCGAUAUCAGAUUAGGUAGUUGGUGGGGUAAAGGCUCACCAAGCCAACGAUCUGUAGCAGGUCUGAGAGGACGACCAGCCACACUGGGACUGAGACACGGCCCAGACUCCUACGGGAGGCAGCAGUGGGGAAUUUUGGACAAUGGACGCAAGUCUGAUCCAGCCAUUCCGCGUGCAGGACGAAGGCCUUCGGGUUGUAAACUGCUUUUGUACAGAACGAAAAGGUUUCUAUUAAUACUAGGAGCUCAUGACGGUACUGUAAGAAUAAGCACCGGCUAACUACGUGCCAGCAGCCGCCGUAA